RNAcentral lists this ribosomal RNA (481 nucleotides) under Streptococcus mutans. RNAcentral's name for it is "bacterial SSU rRNA". It matches the Rfam family "Bacterial small subunit ribosomal RNA", at positions 28 to 486 of the family's 1533-position model. The record is from RNAcentral. Lineage: Bacteria; Bacillati; Bacillota; Bacilli; Lactobacillales; Streptococcaceae.
GACGAACGCGGCGGCGUGCCUAAUACAUGCAAGUGGGACGCAAGGGAACACACUGUGCUUGCACACCGUGUUUUCUUGAGUCGCGAACGGGUGAGUAACGCGUAGGUAACCUGCCUAUUAGCGGGGGAUAACUAUUGGAAACGAUAGCUAAUACCGCAUAAUAUUAAUUAUUGCAUGAUAAUUGAUUGAAAGAUGCAAGCGCAUCACUAGUAGAUGGACCUGCGUUGUAUUAGCUAGUUGGUAAGGUAAGAGCUUACCAAGGCGACGAUACAUAGCCGACCUGAGAGGGUGAUCGGCCACACUGGGACUGAGACACGGCCCAGACUCCUACGGGAGGCAGCAGUAGGGAAUCUUCGGCAAUGGACGAAAGUCUGACCGAGCAACGCCGCGUGAGUGAAGAAGGUUUUCGGAUCGUAAAGCUCUGUUGUAAGUCAAGAACGUGUGUGAGAGUGGAAAGUUCACACAGUGACGGAGCUACCAG